This 492-nucleotide ribosomal RNA is filed under the name uncultured bacterium. Its description in RNAcentral is "partial 16S ribosomal RNA". It matches the Rfam family "Bacterial small subunit ribosomal RNA", at positions 30 to 507 of the family's 1533-position model. The record is from RNAcentral.
AGUGAACGCUGGCGGUAGGCCUAACACAUGCAAGUCGAACGGAAGCACAGUAAGAGCUUGCUCUUACGGGUGGCGAGUGGCGGACGGGAGAGGAGUACAUCGGAAUCUACUUUUUCGGGGGGGAUCACGUAGGGAAAGUUAAGCUAAUACAGCAUACGACCUUCGGGUGAAGGCGGGGGAACUUCGGACCUUGUGCGGUUGAAUGAGCCGCUGUUGGAUUAGCUAGUUGGCGGGGUGAAUGCCCAGGCAGGCGACGGUCCGUAGCUGGUCUGAGGGGAUGAUCGGCCACACUGGAGCUGGGACACGGUCCAGGCGACUACGGGAGGCAGCAGUGGGGAACAUUGGACAAUGGGCGCAAGCCUGAUCCAGCCAGACCGCGUGGGUGAAGAAGGCGUUCGGGUUGUAAAGACGGUUUGUUGGGAGAGAAAAGCAGCAGGCUAAUACCCCGCUGGUGUGACGGUACCCAAAGAAGAAGCACCGGCUAACUUCGUG